UGGGGAAUAUUGGACAAUGGGCGAAAGCCUGAUCCAGCCAUGCCGCGUGUGUGAAGAAGGCCUUUUGGUUGUAAAGCACUUUAAGCGAGGAGGAGGCUACUUAGAUUAAUACUCUAGGAUAGUGGACGUUACUCGCAGAAUAAGCACCGGCUAACUCUGUGCCAGCAGCCGCGGUAAUACAGAGGGUGCGAGCGUUAAUCGGAUUUACUGGGCGUAAAGCGUGCGUAGGCGGCUUUUUAAGUCGGAUGUGAAAUCCCUGAGCUUAACUUAGGAAUUGCAUUCGAUACUGGGAAGCUAGAGUAUGGGAGAGGAUGGUAGAAUUCCAGGUGUAGCGGUGAACUGCGUAGAGAUCUGGAGGAAUACCGAUGGCGAAGGCAGCCAUCUGGCCUAAUACUGACGCUGGGGUACGAAAGCAUGGGGAGCAAACAGG
RNAcentral lists this ribosomal RNA (430 nucleotides) under Acidobacteriota bacterium. Its description in RNAcentral is "Acidobacteria bacterium partial 16S ribosomal RNA". It matches the Rfam family "Bacterial small subunit ribosomal RNA", at positions 355 to 776 of the family's 1533-position model. Lineage: Bacteria; Pseudomonadati; Acidobacteriota. The record is from RNAcentral.